Molecule: ribosomal RNA, 702 nt
Filed under: Triticum aestivum (bread wheat)
Lineage: Eukaryota; Viridiplantae; Streptophyta; Magnoliopsida; Poales; Poaceae
Description: partial small subunit ribosomal RNA
Source: RNAcentral
AUGCUGUCCGGCGACGUUCCCCCGAACCAGACCGUCUACUUCAGGAACCUCAACGAGAAGGUCAAGAAAGAAGAGCUGAAGAGAUCACUUUAUGCAUUGUGCUCUCAGUAUGGAAGGAUAGUGGAUGUUGUGGCCUUGAAAACUCAUAAACUGAGGGGGCAAGCCUGGGUGGCAUUCAGUGAAAUUACAGCGGCUACCAACGCUUUCCGGGGCCUACAGGACUUCGAUUUUUACGGCAAAAAAAUGCGGGUACAAUAUGCAAAAACAAAGUCUGACUGUUUUGCAAAAGCAGAUGGGUCUUAUGCUCCUAAAGAGAAAAGGAAGAAGCAAGAGGAGAAAGCUGCUGAGAAAAAACGGCGAACUGAAGAUGGACAACAACCUGGUGCUAGUGCUCCUGUUGCCCCAAGCAAUGGAACUGGUCAUCAACCUUCUCGUUUUGCCAAGCCUCCGCAAGAGCCAGCUGCUCCGCCGAACAACAUCCUCUUCCUCCAGAACAUGCCGGACCAGACCACGAGCAUGAUGCUCCAGAUCCUGUUCCAGCAAUACCCUGGUUUCCGGGAGGUGCGGAUGAUCGAAGCCAAGCCAGGCAUUGCUUUUGUGGAGUACGAGGACGAGAACCAGUCCAUGGUUGCAAUGGAAGCCCUCCAGGGUUUCAAGAUCAGCCCAGAGAACCCAAUGGCCAUCUCAUACGCCAAAAAGUGA